RNAcentral lists this ribosomal RNA (610 nucleotides) under uncultured archaeon. RNAcentral describes it as "bacterial SSU rRNA". It matches the Rfam family "Archaeal small subunit ribosomal RNA", at positions 133 to 742 of the family's 1478-position model. The record is from RNAcentral.
CGGGAAACUGAGGCUAAUCCCGGAUAGCGUUUCCAACCUGGAGUGGUGGAAACGCCAAACGCUCCGGCGCCACAGGAUGUGACUGCGGCCGAUUAGGUAGACGGUGGGGUAACGGCCCACCGUGCCGAUAAUCGGUACGGGUAGUGAGAGCUAGAGCCCGGAGACGGACUCUGAGACAAGAGUCCGGGCCCUACGGGGCGCAGCAGGCGCGAAACCUUUACACUGCGCGCGAGCGCGAUAGGGGGAUCCCAAGUGCGAGGGCAUACAGUCCUCGCUUUUUCCUACCGUAAGGUGGUAGGCGAAUAAGAGCUGGGCAAGACCGGUGCCAGCCGCCGCGGUAAUACCGGCAGCUCGAGUGAUGGCCGAUUUUAUUGGGCCUAAAGCGUCCGUAGCCGGCUAGACAGGUCCGUCGGGAAAUCCACCCGCUCAACGGGUGGGCGUCCGGCGGAAACCAGCUAGCUUGGGACCGAGCGACCUGAGGGGUACGUCUGGGGUAGGAGUGAAAUCCUGUAAUCCCGGACGGACCACCGGUGGCGAAAGCGCCUCAGGAGAGCGGAUCCGACGGUGAGGGACGAAAGCUAGGGUCUCGAACCGGAUUAGAUACCCGGGU